CCUACGGGUGGCAGCAGUGAGGAAUAUUGGUCAAUGGGCGCGAGCCUGAACCAGCCAAGUAGCGUGAAGGAUGACUGCCCUACGGGUUGUACACUUCUUUUAUAAAGGGAUAAAGUGAGGCACGUUUGCCUUUUUGUAUGUACUUUAUGAAUAAGGAUCGGCUAACUCCGUGCCAGCAGCCGCGGUAAUACGGAGGAUCCGAGCGUUAUCCGGAUUUAUUGGGUUUAAAGGGAGCGUAGAUGGGUUGUUAAGUCAGUUGUGAAAGUUUGCGGCUAAACCGUAAAAUUGCAAUUGAUACUGGCAGUCUUGAGUACAGUUGAGGUAGGCGGAAUUCGUGGUGUAGCGGUGAAAUGCUUAGAUAUCACGAAGAACCCCGAUUGCGAAGGCAGCUUACUAAACUGUGACUGACAUUGAUGCUCGAAAGUGUGGGUAUCAAACAGGAUUAGAUACCCGAGUAGUC
This 460-nucleotide ribosomal RNA is filed under the name uncultured bacterium. RNAcentral's name for it is "partial 16S ribosomal RNA". It matches the Rfam family "Bacterial small subunit ribosomal RNA", at positions 338 to 795 of the family's 1533-position model. The record is from RNAcentral.